CAGUAGCCGCGGGAAAACGGAGGGUGCAAGCGUUAUCCGGAUUUAUUGGGUUUAAAGGGUCCGUAGGCGGAUCUGUAAGUCAGUGGUGAAAUCUCACAGCUUAACUGUGAAACUGCCAUUGAUACUGCAGGUCUUGAGUAAAUUUGAAGUGGCUGGAAUAAGUAGUGUAGCGGUGAAAUGCAUAGAUAUUACUUAGAACACCAAUUGCGAAGGCAGGUCACUAAGAUUUAACUGACGCUGAUGGACGAAAGCGUGGGGAGCGAACAGGAUUAGAUACCCCCGUAGUCCCUGUCUCUUAUAC
RNAcentral lists this ribosomal RNA (301 nucleotides) under uncultured bacterium. Its description in RNAcentral is "partial 16S ribosomal RNA". It matches the Rfam family "Bacterial small subunit ribosomal RNA", at positions 509 to 807 of the family's 1533-position model. The record is from RNAcentral.